Molecule: long non-coding RNA, 1099 nt
Organism: Daphnia pulex (common water flea)
Lineage: Eukaryota; Metazoa; Arthropoda; Branchiopoda; Diplostraca; Daphniidae
Exons: 6
Source: RefSeq, a predicted model, not a curated record
UUGUCUGGUAUGCGAAAAUAGUUCAUGUUCCAGGUAAAACUUUUUUAUUUUCUAAAUAGUUUUUCUUUCAAGAACUCAAAGUGAUUUCUUGUUAAAUAAUUAAUCGAGUAUUUUGCUCGUAUUGCGUGCUGGUUGGCGAGGGAUCGAUGUCCGUCAUCAUGCAAAAGACGCCGUUGUUUUUCUUCCUCUGCGCCAGUUUCACCACCAGAAUAAUCCCACGGCCUCCUUCAGCCUCGCUCCGACUGGGCCUUAAAACUGAAAUAAAAGCUUCCUCCACCAAAAUUUAUACCCAUCGACAUCUGUCCAAGAAAGGGCAACCUUCUCUUUGCGUCGUCAUACUCCACGACAAUCUCGGAGCCGUCAACUAUACCUACGCCCUUCAUUCACAGAUACUUGAUUUGGAGUAUGGAGAAGCUUUUUUCGAUUUUUUCCACGUCAAGAAUUGCAUCUAACGCAACAACGAGGAAACGCCACUCUUGUGGGCUGUGGAAAAUGUCGCCAGCUACCACAUAACCAUUUCGAGAUUUCUCUAGAUGGAACCGAUAACAUUCGACAUGAAGGAUGCCCAAGAAGGCUCCACCAAACAUCGUCUGGUGUCGGAACAGAAUUUCAAUCCGCAAUUGGACGAGCAAUUCAUCAACAACGACCAUUCGGUUCGUCCAUUUCCAGUCUUCCGCCCAGCCGAGAGCCUUUUUUCACCAAAUACUCUUGGAUUCUUGAAGAUAUCGUGGCCAUAAACCAACCCCUGCCAGCCAACUGGCAGGAGAAACACGACCAGAUGCUGUUUCAGCGCGAUAUACUCGAAGUAAGACGAAAACAAUUAAAGCUCCAGCCUUUUUGGAGCAUUACUCGGUCGUCCAGCUGACUCAUAAAACGGCCAAGAAGAAGAGGAAAUUGAGCAGCGAUCUCCGCCCGUGUUGGAAACUUCGCGAAGCCGUCGGCAGUGCUGACGAGGACAGUGACGGAAUUAGUGACGAAACGGGCGACUUUUCGCUUUUCUGACGGAUCAAGCCACCGAUUGUGUUUCCCCGUGCCGUUUCCGGAGUACGUGUUUCAUGUGGAAGAAGCUGAAGUACAUCAAGAACUAUUGAAUUGUAGU